RNAcentral lists this ribosomal RNA (468 nucleotides) under uncultured bacterium. RNAcentral's name for it is "partial 16S ribosomal RNA". It matches the Rfam family "Bacterial small subunit ribosomal RNA", at positions 28 to 507 of the family's 1533-position model. The record is from RNAcentral.
GACGAACGCUGGCGGCGUGCUUAACACAUGCAAGUCGAACGGAAAGGCCCUGCUUUUGUGGGGUGCUCGAGUGGCGAACGGGUGAGUAACACGUGAGUAACCUGCCCUUGACUUUGGGAUAACUUCAGGAAACUGGGGCUAAUACCGGAUAGGAGCUCCUGCUGCAUGGUGGGGGUUGGAAAGUUUCGGCGGUUGGGGAUGGACUCGCGGCUUAUCAGCUUGUUGGUGGGGUAGUGGCUUACGAAGGCUGUGACGGGUAGCCGGCCUGGGAGGGUUACCGGGCUCAUUGGGACUGAGAGAGGGAGCAGACGGCUACGGGAGGCAGCAGUGGGAAAUAUUGCACAGUGGGCGGAAGCCUGAUGCAGCAGCGCCGCGUGCGGGAUGACGGCCUUCGGGUUGUGAACCGCUUUCGCCUGUGACGAAGCGUGAGUGACGGUAAUGGGUAAAGAAGCACCGGCUAACUACGUG